GGGGAAUUGUUCGCAAUGGGCGCAAGCCUGACGACGCAACGCCGCGUGGAGGAUGAAGGUCUUCGGAUUGUAAACUCCUGUUGAUCGGGACGAACCACCAUCGGGAUAACACCCCGGAGGUCUGACGGUACCGAUUGAGGAAGCCCCGGCUAACUCUGUGCCAGCAGCCGCGGUAAUACAGAGGGGGCAAGCGUUGUUCGGAAUUACUGGGCGUAAAGGGCUCGUAGGCGGCCAACUAAGUCACACGUGAAAUCCCUCGGCUCAACCGGGGAACUGCGUGUGAGACUGGAUGGCUUGAGUUUGGGAGAGGAAUGCGGAAUUCCAGGUGUAGCGGUGAAAUGCGUAGAUAUCUGGAGGAACACCGGUGGCGAAGGCGGCAUUCUGGACCAAUACUGACGCUGAGGAGCGAAAGCCAGGGGAGCAAA
RNAcentral lists this ribosomal RNA (425 nucleotides) under uncultured bacterium. RNAcentral describes it as "bacterial SSU rRNA". It matches the Rfam family "Bacterial small subunit ribosomal RNA", at positions 356 to 772 of the family's 1533-position model. The record is from RNAcentral.